CUACGGGGGGCAGCAGUGGGGAAUAUUGGACAAUGGACCAAAAGUCUGAUCCAGCAAUUCUGUGUGCACGAUGACGGUUUUCGGAUUGUAAAGUGCUUUCAACAGGGAAGAAGUUCUGACGGUACCUGUAGAAGAAGCGACGGCUAAAUACGUGCCAGCAGCCGCGGUAAUACGUAUGUCGCAAGCGUUAUCCGGAUUUAUUGGGCAUAAAGGGCAUCUAGGCGGCUUAGUAAGUCUGAUGUGAAAAUGCGGGGCUCAACUCCGUAUUGCGUUGGAAACUACUAAGCUAGAGUAUUGGAGAGGUAGGCGGAACUACAUGUGUAGAGGUGAAAUUCGUAGAUAUAUGUAGGAAUGCCGAUGACGAAGGUAGCUUACUGGACAAUUACUGACGCUGAAGUGCGAAAGCUAGGGGAGCAAACAAGAUUAGAUACCCUCGUAGUC
This 441-nucleotide ribosomal RNA is filed under the name uncultured bacterium. RNAcentral's name for it is "partial 16S ribosomal RNA". It matches the Rfam family "Bacterial small subunit ribosomal RNA", at positions 339 to 795 of the family's 1533-position model. The record is from RNAcentral.